CAAACGGCCCUUUUCAGGGCCACCAUAUUUCAAUGCAACAUACCG
This is a non-coding RNA of Trichuris muris, 45 nucleotides long. Lineage: Eukaryota; Metazoa; Nematoda; Enoplea; Trichinellida; Trichuridae. The record is from Rfam.